UACAGAGGUUUCAAGCGUUGUUCGGAUUCAUUGGGCGUAAAGGGUGCGUAGGUGGCGAGGUUAGUCAGGUGUGAAAUCUCGGGGCUCAACCCCGAAACUGCACUUGAUACUGCCUUGCUAGAGUACUGGAGAGGAGAUUGGAAUUUACGGUGUAGCAGUGAAAUGCGUAGAUAUCGUAAGGAAGACCAGUGGCGAAGGCGAAUCUCUGGACAGUUACUGACACUGAGGCACGAAGGCCAGGGGAGCAAACGGG
Molecule: ribosomal RNA, 253 nt
Filed under: uncultured bacterium
Lineage: Bacteria
Description: partial 16S ribosomal RNA
Rfam family: Bacterial small subunit ribosomal RNA
Source: RNAcentral